CUGGAGGCAUUAGGAGCGGAAAUAUGCAGGCAGUAGCAUGCUGAGACGUAGAGAGAAGUAUUUGAACAGCAGAAGACCGGAGCACUUGGAAGCAGAAAGAAGAAGCAUAGGCAGAAGAGGUUCCUUUGACUAUGGACCGUCUCAACCAGAGGAAACAGCCUAGUGUUACAAAAAGAGCAAUACAAGAGUGUCUGGUGCACUGAUUCACACCCUGUGCGAUCAGAAUUCAGAGGACAUGAAUGAUCUACAGAGGAUGAAUCGGAAAUUCAAGUAAUAUAGGAAGACUGCUAAAUUGGAGCCUCCAAAUCAUUGUAUCAAAUGGAUAUGCACUUUUUCACCCAUCUGCCAGAAAAUGGAGAAGGAGGGGAGAAAAUAUCUUUGAAGCAGAUUUUGUGCAUCCCAAGAAAUGUUUGAACUUCUUGUUUGGAUUUAUUUUUCAGUGAAUACAAUCAUUUCUGGGGAUUCUCCAUUUUUAUUAGAAAGUGAUUUUUUUUCCUCUACAAUGUACUAGCGACUGAUACUGAAAAAAUAUCAUCUGUGAGGCACUUUCUAAAUUAAGUAAUCUCUAAAUUAUGUAAAACAUUUGAAAUGAGUUGGCAGGGAGGUAGAGAGGGAUUAAAUGACAGAAUCAAUAUCAUAA
Ornithorhynchus anatinus (platypus) is the source of this 640-nucleotide long non-coding RNA. RefSeq lists it as uncharacterized. The record is from RefSeq and is a predicted model, not a curated record. Lineage: Eukaryota; Metazoa; Chordata; Mammalia; Monotremata; Ornithorhynchidae. The transcript has 3 exons.